UAGCUAGUUGGUAGGGUAAGGGCCUACCAAGGCGACGAUCGGUAGCUGGUCUGAGAGGAUGGCCAGCCACACUGGAACUGAGACACGGUCCAGACUCCUACGGGAGGCAGCAGUGGGGAAUAUUGGACAAUGGGGGCAACCCUGAUCCAGCAAUGCCGCGUGUGUGAAGAAGGCCUGAGGGUUGUAAAGCACUUUCAGUGGGGAGGAGGAUUGAUAGGUUAAGAGCUAAUUAAUUGGACGUUACCCACAGAAGAAGCACCGGCUAACUCCGUGCCAGCAGCCGCGGUAAUACGGAGGGUGCGAGCGUUAAUCGGAAUUACUGGGCGUAAAGGGUGCGUAGGUGGUUUGAUAAGUUAUCUGUGAAAUUCCUGGGCUUAACCUGGGACGGUCAGAUGAUACUGUUGGACUCGAGUAUGGGAGAGGGUAGUGGAAUUUCCGGUGUAGCGGUGAAAUGCGUAGAGAUCGGAAGGAACACCAGUGGCGAAGGCGGCUACCUGGCCCAAUACUGACACUGAGGCACGAAAGCGUGGGGAGCAAACAGGAUUAGAUACCCUGGUAGUCCACGCCGUAAACGAUGUCAACUAGCUGUUGGUUAUAUGAAUAUAAUUAGUGGCGC
RNAcentral lists this ribosomal RNA (616 nucleotides) under uncultured Legionella sp. RNAcentral's name for it is "bacterial SSU rRNA". It matches the Rfam family "Bacterial small subunit ribosomal RNA", at positions 242 to 849 of the family's 1533-position model. Lineage: Bacteria; Pseudomonadati; Pseudomonadota; Gammaproteobacteria; Legionellales; Legionellaceae. The record is from RNAcentral.